UACGGAGGGUGCAAGCGUUGUCCGGAUUUAUUGGGUUUAAAGGGUGCGUAGGCGGCCCCUUAAGUCAGCGGUGAAAGCCCGGGGCUCAACCCCGGAACCGCCGUUGAUACUGGGGGGCUUGAGUACAGACGAGGUAGGCGGAAUUGAGGGUGUAGCGGUGAAAUGCUUAGAUACCCUCAAGAACACCGAUUGCGUAGGCAGCUUACUAGGCUGUGACUGACGCUGAGGCACGAAAGCGUGGGGAGCGAACAGG
This 253-nucleotide ribosomal RNA is filed under the name uncultured bacterium. RNAcentral describes it as "partial 16S ribosomal RNA". It matches the Rfam family "Bacterial small subunit ribosomal RNA", at positions 524 to 776 of the family's 1533-position model. The record is from RNAcentral.